GAUGUUUAUAGUGGUAUCACUAUGACUAAGAGACACUUAUGUAAUAAGGCGGUUCUUCUAGUUCUUGACGAUGUGGAUCAAGUAGAGCAACUGGAAACCUUGGUGGGAGAAAGAGACUGGUUUGGUUUGAGGAGUAGAAUCAUCAUUACAACUAGAAAUCGACAUAUACUAGUCACACAUGGUAUAGAUGAACCAUAUGAGGUGAAGAUACUAACUAAAGAUGACGCUCUUAAGCUCUUUUGUUGGAAAGCCUUUAGGAAAUAUGAACCUGAAGAUGAGUAUGCUGAAGACUCUAAGAGAUUCAUUAUCUAUGCUGGAGGUCUUCCCUUAGCUCUUAAAACUUUGGGGUCUUUUUUGUAUAAAAGAAGUGCAGAUGCAUGGAGUUCUACACUGGAAAAGCUACAAGGAACUCCCAACAGAACAAUCUUUGACGUCCUGAAAAUAAGUUAUGAUGGACUCGAUAAGAUGGAGAAGAAAAUUUUUCUGGACAUUGCAUGCUUUUGUAGAUGGUAUCAAAACGAGUAUGCAGUUGACCUACUAUACAGUUCCGAUUUUUGCAGUCAUAUUGCAAUAGAUGUUCUUGUUGAGAGAUCUCUCAUAACUAUUUCUUCAAGAAAGCAAGUAUUUAUACAUGACUUGAUACAAGAAAUGGGAUGUGAAAUUGUUCGUCAAGAGUGUCAAGAAGAACCUGGUAGACGCAGUCGGUUGUGGCUCCCUAACGACAUUUUUCAUGUAUUCACAAGGAAUUCGGUAAGAAUUCUAACAAACUGAAAGGCUUGGAUAUCACUAUAAUUUUCUUACAUGAUACAUUCAUGAUAAUUUAAUUGACUCAUCUCUUACUUUCAUGUAUUAGGGAACAGAAGCCAUUGAAGGCAUCUUCUUACAUUUGCCUGAAAUAGAAGAGGCAGAUUGGAAUCUUGAGGGCUUCUCUAUCAUGUAUAAACUGAAGCGGCUACACAUUCAUAAUUUGAGGCUUUCUGCUGGCCCCAAAUAUCUUCCUAAUGCGUUGAGAUUUCUGAAUUGGGGUUGGUAUCCUUCAAAAUCUCUCCCACCAGGUUUUCAACCGGAUGAUCUUAUUGAACUUAGUUUGCCCCACAGCAAUAUUCGUCACCUCUGGAAUGGAAUGAAAGUAAGUUAUCGAAUAUCUGUUAUUUGCACAAGUAUUAUUAAAUUUUAGAGUUCUAGCAUGAAUCUGAUUGUUCUACCAUUCUUCAUAUUUCCUACAGUGCUUGGUCAAGUUGAAAUCUAUCGACCUUAGUUACUCCAUAAACUUGACAAUGACCCCAGAUUUCACAGGCAUUCCAAACCUCGAGAGGUUGGUUUUUGAAGGUUGUACGAAUUUAAUUAAGGUUCAUCCAUCCAUUGCAUUGCUGAAGAGACUCAAAAUUUGGAACUUUAGAUACUGCCGAAGUAUGAAAAGUCUACCAAGUGAAGUGAAAAUGGAAUAUCUUGAGACUUUUGAUGUAUCUGGCUGCUCAACACUAAAAAUGUUUCCAGAAUUUAUGGGGCAAAUGAAAAGAUUAUCCAAGCUUUCUAUAAGUGGUACUGCUGUUAAGAACCUGCCUUCAUCAGUUGAGCGCUUCAGUGAGAGUUUGGCGGAGCUUGAUUUGUGUGGAAUUGUUGCAAGAGAGCGGCCAUACUCUCAUUUUUUAAAGCAGAAUGUUAGAGUUUCAUCUUCUGGCUUAUUUCCAAGAAAGAGUCCUCACCCUUUGCUUCCUCUGUUAGCUUCCUUGAAGCAUUUGUCUUGUUUGACGUCGUUAAAACUGAAUGACUGUAAUCUCCAUGAAGGAGAAAUUCCGAAUGAUAUUGGUUCUCUGUCCACCUUAAAGUCGUUGGAACUUGGAGGAAAUAAUUUUGUCACCCUUCCUGCAAGCCUUCGUUUGCUUUCUAAUCUGGGAUUCAUUAGCGUGGAAAAUUGCAAAAGGCUUGAGCAAUUGCCAGACCUCCCAUUCAAUGAGAGGUUAUGGGUAAAUUCCAGCAAUUGUACUUCCUUAAAAGUGUUUCCAGAUCCAUCAGCAUUCAGUUCGGUUGGUAAUCUGGAUUCAAGUUAUUUUUUAUAUUCAAUGCUGAAGCGGUUACUUGAGGUAAAAUCUGGAUUCAAUUUAUUCUUUAUAGUCGGUGCUAAAGUUUUUAUGUUCAGUACGGUCGAUAUGAUUAUGUUUGGUAUUCAUAUCAAUAAUUAUGAUGGUUCAUAUGGUGCAGGAAUCCCCUUCUUUUGAUUUGUUCAGUUGUCUACUUCCUGGAAGUGAAAUGUUUGAGUGGUUCAGUAAUCAGAGUUUGGGAAACACGCUAACUGAGAAGAUACCUCCGUAUUCAAGUAAUAGCAAGUGGAUUGGGUUUGCUGUAUGUGCGCUAUUUGCAGCUCAUGACAAUCCAUCUGCCGUUCCUGAAGCCCGUGAUUUAGAUCCUGGUCCCUUCAUUACGUGUAAAUUUACUACUGACCGCUACUUUGGGCACGAACAUAUAAAAAAAAUUGAUUCAGAUCACCUUUUUUUAGGUGUUAUCUCCGCUCGUUACUGGAAGCCUGAGAACCGUCCAGAUGACAACUUGGUUAAGUUUGUUAUUGAGACCACUGCUGUCGGAAACAACAGAUGCUUGAAGAUAAAGAAAUGUGGGGUCCGUGCACUGUAUGAGAACGACAUGGAAGAGUUGUUGGCUAAAUGAACCAAUCCAAGAACAUCACUGCUCCUUAAUUACGAGAAGAGGCGGAUUGGAAUCUUGAGGGCUUCUCUAUCAUGUGUAAACUGAAGAUGCUACACAUUCAUAAUUUGAGGCUUCCUGCUGGCCCCAAAUAUCUUCCUAAUGCGUUGAGAUUUCUGAAUUGGCGUUGGUAUCCUUCAAAAUCUCUCCCACCAGGUUUUCAACCGGAUGAUCUUAUUGAACUUAGUUUGCCCCAUAGCAAUAUUCAUCACUUCUGGGAUGGAACAACAGUAUGUUAUUGAAUAUCUUCUAUUGCAAAAAUUUAAUUUAAUUUUAAGAUUCAUGCAUGGAAGUUGAUUGUUCUACCGUUCUUUAUGUUUUCUACAGUAUUUAAACAAGUUGAAAUCUAUCGAUCUUAGUUGCUCCAAAAACUUGACAAAAACCCCAGAUUUCACUGGUAUUCAAAACCUUGAGAAGUUGGUUCUUGAAGGCUGUACGAAUUUAGUGAAGGUUCAUCCAUCUGUUGCAUUGCUCAAGAGACUCAAAAUUUGGAAUUAUAGAAACUGCAGAAGUAUUAAGAGUCUACCACGUGAAGUGAAAAUGGAAUUUCUUGAAACUUUUGAUGUAUCUGGCUGCUCAAAACUAAAAAUGAUCCCAGAAUUUCUGGGGUCAAAUGAAAAGAAUUGUCGAAGCUUUCUUUAAGUGGGACUGUUCUUGAGAAACUAGCCUUCAUCAAUUGAGCGCUUCAGUGAGAGUUUGGUGGAGCUUGAUUUGAGUGGAACUGUUAAAAGAGAGAGGGCAUACUCCCUUUUUCUAAAGCAGAAUCUCAGUGUAUCAUCUUUUGGCUUAUUUCCAAGAAAUGGACCUCACCCUUUGCUUCCACUGUUAGCUUCCUUGAAGCAUUUGUCUUUUUUGACGUCAUUAAAGCUGAAUGAUUGUAAUCUCUGUGAAGGAGCAAUUCCCAAUGAUAUUGGUUCUCUGUCCUCCUUGAAGUUCUUGGAACUCGGGGGACAUAAUUUUGUUACCCUUCCUGCAAGCAUUCGAUUGCUUUCUAAGCUUACAUUCUUUAACGUGGAGAAUUGCAAAAUGCUUGAACAAUUGCCAGACCUCCAAUUAAAUGGUGAAUUAUGUGUAGGAAGCAUCAAUUCAUUCAAUUGUACAUCCUUACAAGCUUUCCCAGAUCCAUCAGAUUUGUGCAGAUUCAAUACGAUUGGUAAUCUGGAUUCAAGUUAUUUGUUGUAUUCAAUCCUGAAGAGGUUGCUUGAGGUAAUCUGGAUUCAAGUUAUUUUAUAGCCUGUGCUAGAGUUUUUAUAUUCAGUACGGUUUAUAUGAUUGUGGUUGGUAAACAUAUGAAUAAUUGUGAUAUGAUGGUUCAUAUGAUGCAGGAAACCCCUCCUUCCUUUCACUAUUUCAGUCUUGUAUUUCCUGGAAGUUAUAUUUUUGAGUGGUUCAGUAAUCAAAGUGUGGGAGACUCGGUAACUGAGAAGAUACCUUAUUCAUGUAAUAGCAGCAAGUGGAUUGGGAUCGCUGUAUGUGCGUUAUUUGCAGCUCAAGACAAUCCAUCUGCCGUUCCUGAAGAGCGUGAUUUAAAUCCUGAUGAAAAUUCAGUUACGUCUACAUUGAGGUUCUACAGUUUUCGUUUCCAAGUUAAACCAAUUGGUUCAGUCUACAGUUUUCAUUACCCUGUUAAACAGCAAGUGGAUUCGGAUCACCUUAUUUUCUCUGUUUUCUCCACUCAUUACUUGCAACUUGAGAAUUUUCUGGAGGACACUUUGGUUAAGUGUGUUUUCGAAACCCAUCGACCUGUACGAAACAACAGAUGCUUGAAGGUAAAGAAAUGUGGGGCCCGUGCACUGUAUGAGCACGACAUGGAAGAGCUGAUCGCUAAAAUGAACCAAUCUAAGAGUAAAUCAGUAUAUGAACAAGGUAGUGCCAACGUUGAGGAACAACGCAGUUGUGGCUAUGACGAUGAAUAUUACUCUGCGGAAGAAUGAAAGGCUGCCUUGUGCUUCGUGUAACCAUCCAGUGUCUCAAUGCAAAAAUUAAAGGGUAACACUGCUAUUCUAUGCAAGUAACAAUCUCAUAUUAUGACUCCCAGUUGCAACCGGAUCUAUCUUAUUAUGUUCUUUAACAUGUUUCUCUGUCUCUCAUGUGCUUGUCUCAUCAUUUGCUCUGCCAUCUUGAUCAAUAACAGAAGUGAGAUACUAUCUAGUGUAUAUAUCAUAGUAGUAGAGAUCAAAUAAUUCAUUAUUUACCAAGUCAUGAAGACCACAGUUUAAGAGUAAAAAGGUUAGUUGUCCAUGUCCACGAUGAGAUACAGUUCCCUUUUUUCUUUUUCUGUUCUUCUCUAGUAAUUAAUAUAUAUAAUUAUGCAGUGCGUAACUCGAGUAUCUAAAUGUACAUGGGACGACAUAUAUAGAUGACAGUUCUGCGGUGGCCAGUAAUGGGGAAACUCUUCAUGUCACUCCAACAAGAAAAAGGUGGUUACUGAAAGUAUUGAUCGCCUUCCUAUGGAAGCUACUUUGAAGAUCUGCAGUUGUAUCUUAGUUUGGACGGUGUCGGUUUGAAUCUGUCGAAGGUAUUUGGUUGUGCGGCUUUUGAUAUAAUUGGCUCUCACUAAAACGACUUAGGUGACUGUGCAGUGCACAUCUUUAAGUCUUGACUUUUGCCACAAGCAAGCAUUGGGAGGUACACACUUUGCUUCUUCUAAAUCAACUCCAAACAGGGAAGGAAAGUGGGAUCUUGAUGCACGGCAGGUUUCCAUGGCCGGUAGUGGGAAAACUCUUGAUGUUCCUACAACAAGAGAAAGGUAACUGCAAGAUUAUGUUGCUUGGUUUGGAUGGGUUUUGAUUUCUAUCUACCAAGGUACAAUUUGUCUAGCUCUAAUUGGCUCGGACUAAUAUGCAUCAGGUGAUAUCCUCCAUCCUUGCAAGUUCUUCCUCCACCCAUUUUUCAAGGUUAAAUCUCCGAAGCUAAACAUGUCCGAUUCUUUACUGGCUUUCCCUUGGUUUGCAUACUCUUGUGCGACGUAGCCUAAAUUGCCUAGCACAGCCAUUUUAUCAGUCUUCAACAUCGUCGCCAAGCCUAGUGUUGAAAUCAUUUUCCAACACUACGUUAGCUUGAUGUACCUGUUAAGCGCACACAGUCCUGCAUAUUUGUAUAGGUACUGAAAAGCCGAGGCCAAGCCUGAAGCGAUUGUGAACCAACAUCCCACUGAGAGGAUUCCUUCCGCCAAAUGGAUGUGUGUCAAGGCAUGUAUUGGUAAAGAAUCAAGCAUUCGCCUUGGCCAUGACACGAUCUGAUGAAUUGCACCACAUUUCUUAUUUCUAUGUAUUAAGCGUCUAAUGAUUUAAUUUUUUUUUUUUUUUCUAAAGUAGAUAUGAUCACAUUGUGCAUAAGUCCUCUCCACAGCAACAUCGCAACCUAACUUUUUACGAAUCCUCGGUAAACCUGUCCAGACCCUCCUCGGCCUAGCAUUGCAUCACUUGCGUAGUCAUGGGUGGCUGCAGCUAGUUCUUCCAAAAAGAAAAGAAAAAAAAACUAAAAAAACUUUUUGAUGGAAUGAUAUGUGCUUUUCGCUAUACCAGAAUCUGAUCUCUACCGAUUCAAAUUAAUUGACAAAUAUGCUCAUAUUCUAAACUGCUAAAGAAUGUUUGAAUAUAUCAUCUUUAAGACACAUCUCAGUCUAUUCUCUGUAGUCAUGAUUCAUGAUAGAAAAACGUUGUAACAAAAGCAUCAUGUACGAGUUAGGUUUUAGGCUUAAAAACCCAUUUAAAAAAAAUGAAAAUACCUACAGCUCUGCCACCUAUUACUCCAUUACUGACAGACUUGGGUGACGUUUGAGUCAAAGUCUUCUUCUUUUUUUUUUUUUGGUCUGAGAGUCAAAGUCUUCUUGUUAUGAUCUUCCUAGCAGAGAGACCAGGAGAACGACCUUGAAGCGCACCGUUUCAAGUAAUUGUCGAAGUGGAUCUUUCCACAUGUGAGACGCACGUGCUCACUAAUCAGUUGUUAAUUAAUAUGUAUUAGGGUUUUGCCCCAAACUAGUUGGAUGUUUGCCAAGUGGCAAGAUCUAGAAGGCUCAUUCUGGUUAUAAAUGGUCUUUGUAAGAGAACAGCCGCUAUCAAUGAAAAAGACUUGCUUUGAUUUCCUUUUGCAGUUCUGUUAUUAGUUCCAGAUCCCUGUUACUUCUCUUUCCGUCACCUUUACUCUCCUCUCCAUUAUUUCCACUUCUUAUUGAACCCCUCUUGAUCUUUACUGAUCACCAAUCAAUCAGUUUCCGAUGGCGUUGAGUACCCAAGUCAGAGCUUCCACCGGUUCAGCUUUCUCAUGGAAAUACGACGUGUUUUUGAGCUUCCGAGGCGAAGACACCCGGAAGGGCUUCACUGAUUACUUAUACGACAAGUUGAAGUGGCGAGGAAUCAGGACUUUCAGGGACGACCCUGAACUUGAAAGAGGCACAACCAUCUCUCCGGAGCUCAUCUCAGCAAUCGAGCAGUCCAGGUUUGCGAUCGUUGUUCUUUCUCCAAACUAUGCUUCUUCCACGUGGUGUUUGCUUGAACUGUGUAUUAUUUUGGAUUGCAUGGAAAAGAGAGGGACCAUUCUGCCGGUCUUUUAUGAGGUCAACCCGUCUGAUGUGAGACACCAAAGGGACAGCUUUGCUGAAGCGUUUGAUGAACAUGAAGAGAAGUUUGGAGAAGAUAGUAAGGAAGUGGAAGGGUGGAGAGAUGCUUUAACACAAGUGGCGAACCUCGCUGGCUGGAAUUCAAAGGAUUACAGGUAAGUCUCAAUUGUUGAUUCAGAGAUCAAAUGACACGUAAAUUGAAGUACACCAAUAUUUAGAAGUUAUAUAAUGUUGGUGAGUUAGUUUAGGAAGUGCUUACACUGCCCUGCAUCUUUGUAUAACACCACUUUAAUGUUGCGGUUCAGUUCUAUCAUACGGGUAGAUUAUAUAUUUUGUAUGAUCACAUAUUCAACAUGAGAAUUCUUAUAUUCUUCUUGUAGGUAUGGAACAGAGCUUAUCAAAGAGAUUGUGCAAGCACUGUGGAGCAAAGUGCAUCCUAGUGCCACACUAUUUGGUUCCUCAGAGAUGUUAGUUGGAAUGGAUACUAAGCUGGAGGAAUUAGAUGUUCUUUUAGAUAAAGAAGCAAAUGAUGUUCGCUUUAUAGGGCUAUGGGGAAUGGGUGGGCUGGGUAAGACAACUCUUGCUAGACAAGUUUAUGAGAAGAUCUCUGAUCAAUUUGAAGUUUCCAUCUUUGUUUCUAAUGUCAGAGAGGUUUCUGCAACCCAUGGUCUAGUUCAUAUACAUAAGCAGAUUCUGUCCCAAAUCUUGAAGCAAGAAAAUGAACAAGUAUGGGAUGUUUAUAGUGCAAUGAAUAUGACUAAGAGAUGUUUAUGCAAUAAAGCGGUUCUUCUAGUUCUUGACGAUGUGGAUCAAGUAGAGCAACUGGAAACCUUGGUGGGAGAAAAAGACUGGUUUGGUAUGAGGAGUAGAAUCAUCAUUACAACUAGAAAUCAACGUAUACUAGUCACACAUGGUAUAGAUGAACCAUAUGAGUUGAAGGGAUUAAACAAUGAUGAAGCUCUCAAGCUCUUU
Molecule: long non-coding RNA, 8233 nt
Filed under: Fragaria vesca (wild strawberry)
Lineage: Eukaryota; Viridiplantae; Streptophyta; Magnoliopsida; Rosales; Rosaceae
Description: long non-coding RNA (FVES_LNC003799)
Source: RNAcentral